This 1455-nucleotide long non-coding RNA is filed under the name Sus scrofa (pig). RNAcentral's name for it is "lncRNA (ENSSSCG00065040985.1)". Lineage: Eukaryota; Metazoa; Chordata; Mammalia; Artiodactyla; Suidae. The record is from RNAcentral.
AAAGAAAUCACUUCUACAGACCAGAAUGAUUGCUUCUGUUUGAGGCGGACAACUUUAAGACAGAGAAUGUCAAGUUCAAAUUUCUAAUUCAGGUAAAGGCUGAAAAUCAUGAAUUAUCGAAGUCUAAUUAUCUACAGUUGUUGAAAGACUAAAAUCAAACAGCAAGUUUGACCCUGCAGAUUGCUGAGUUACAAUGUCAUGGAUAUCACUGCUUUCCUAGGUCUCUUAUGUGACAGUGAGGGCAUGCGUCAGCAAGAGGUGAGCUCCCAGCAAAACACAGACCUAUGGGAAGAGUUGGAUGGUGUAUUAGUCUGGGUUCUCCAGAGAAAGGAUAGAUGAUAGAUAGAUAGAUAGAUAGAUAGAUAGAUAGAUAGAUAGAUAGAUAGAUAGAUAGGGAGAUAGGGAGAUAGAAAUAGAGAGAGACAGAAAGAGAGACAAGAUGGUGGUGGGGGGGGGAUUGAUUUGUUAUAAGGAAUUGGCUCACUUGAUUAUGGAGGCUGGGAAGUUCUAAAAUCUGCAGUCAGCAAGCUGGAGGACCAGGAGAGCCAGCAGUGUAAGUUCUAGUCUGAUUGAGGCACCAGAAGCCCCAUGUCUCUGCUCAAAGACAGGCAGAGAGAAUGAAUUCUCGCAUGCUGAGCCUUUUGAUCCUAUCCAGAGCUUCAGUGGAUUGGAUGAGGCCCACCCACAUUAGGGAAGGCAAUCUGCUUUACUUGGCCCAACGAUUCAAAUGUUAAUAUCUAGAAAUACUCACAGACAUACCACGGAAUAAUAUCUGACCAAAUAACUGGAUACCCUGCGGCCCAAUCAAGUUGACACAUAAAGUUAACUAUCAGAGAUGACUCAGAAUCCUCCAAGCCCUCAUUUUCCUCUGACCCUCCCUUGCUCUGCAAAGCAGCCCUUUUCCCCUCCCCGAUGAAGCUGUUUUUUCCCUACUGUAGGCUUUGCAACAACCUAGCAGGGAGCCUACUCUCCUCUUUCCCAGUUGCACUCAUGUCUCCACCCCUGCCAGGUUCUAUAUCUAGAGUCAUAGCCCAGAACAUAUCAGUGGGCCAAUUACAAAGUUAAACCUAGGAAGGGAUGAUUUCCACGCCAAAUGGAAUUUUAAGAACUAGCUAAUUAUUUCAGCAAAAUCUAGUAAAGAUCAAUGGCAAGGAAUUCUGAAUAUACAAGAUCAAGGAAAGAGGAACAUAAUUCUAAAUGAGACUGAAUUUGUUAAUAUGUAUGAACCCACCAGCAUAUGGAGGUUCCCAGGCUAGGGGUCUAAUCGGAGCUGUUGCUGCCGGCCUAGGCCAGAGCCACAGCAAUGCCAGGUCCAGGCCACAUCUGCAACCUACACCACAGCUCACAGCAACUCCGGAUCCUUAACCCACAGAGUGAGACCAGGGAUGGAACCCGCAACCUCAUGGUUCCUAGUCAGAUGCAUUUCCACUGCACCGUGAUGGGAACUCCUAACUU